This 174-nucleotide ribosomal RNA is filed under the name uncultured bacterium. RNAcentral's name for it is "partial 16S ribosomal RNA". It matches the Rfam family "Bacterial small subunit ribosomal RNA", at positions 338 to 524 of the family's 1533-position model. The record is from RNAcentral.
CCUACGGGAGGCAGCAGUGGGGAAUAUUGCACAAUGGGCGCAAGCCUGAUGCAGCAAUGCCGCGUGAGGGACGACGGCCUUCGGGUUGUAAACCUCUUUUAGUAGGGAAGAAGCGAAAGUGACGGUACCUGCAGAAAAAGCACCGGCUAACUACGUGCCAGCAGCCGCGGUAAU